RNAcentral lists this ribosomal RNA (483 nucleotides) under uncultured bacterium. Its description in RNAcentral is "bacterial SSU rRNA". It matches the Rfam family "Bacterial small subunit ribosomal RNA", at positions 30 to 497 of the family's 1533-position model. The record is from RNAcentral.
AUUGAACGCUGGCGGCAUGCCUAACACAUGCAAGUCGAACGGCAGCAUGACGUGUAGCAAUACACGUUGAUGGCGAGUGGCGGACGGGUGAGUAAUACGUAGGAAUCUGCCCAGUAGCGGGGGACAACUUAGGGAAACUUAAGCUAAUACCGCAUACGCACUACGGUGGAAAGCAGGGGAUCGCAAGACCUUGCACUAUUGGAUGAGCCUACGUCCGAUUAGCUAGUUGGUAGGGUAAUGGCCUACCAAGGCGACGAUCGGUAGCUGGUUUGAGAGAACGACCAGCCACAUUGGGACUGAGACACGGCCCAAACUCCUACGGGAGGCAGCAGUGGGGAAUAUUGGACAAUGGGGGCAACCCUGAUCCAGCAAUGCCGCGUGUGUGAAGAAGGCCUUCGGGUUGUAAAGCACUUUUAGUGGAGACGAGAAAGCACGGGGUUAACACCUCCGUGUCGUAGACUAACUCACAGAAAAAGCACCGCA